RNAcentral lists this ribosomal RNA (642 nucleotides) under Bifidobacterium longum subsp. longum. Its description in RNAcentral is "bacterial SSU rRNA". It matches the Rfam family "Bacterial small subunit ribosomal RNA", at positions 829 to 1468 of the family's 1533-position model. The record is from RNAcentral. Lineage: Bacteria; Bacillati; Actinomycetota; Actinomycetes; Bifidobacteriales; Bifidobacteriaceae.
GUUCCACGGGUUCCGUGUCGGAGCUAACGCGUUAAGCAUCCCGCCUGGGGAGUACGGCCGCAAGGCUAAAACUCAAAGAAAUUGACGGGGGCCCGCACAAGCGGCGGAGCAUGCGGAUUAAUUCGAUGCAACGCGAAGAACCUUACCUGGGCUUGACAUGUUCCCGACGGUCGUAGAGAUACGGCUUCCUUCGGGGCGGGUUCACAGGUGGUGCAUGGUCGUCGUCAGCUCGUGUCGUGAGAUGUUGGGUUAAGUCCCGCAACGAGCGCAACCCUCGCCCCGUGUUGCCAGCGGAUUAUGCCGGGAACUCACGGGAGACCGCCGGGGUUAACUCGGAGGAAGGUGGGGAUGACGUCAGAUCAUCAUGCCCCUUACGUCCAGGGCUUCACGCAUGCUACAAUGGCCGGUACAACGGGAUGCGACGCGGCGACGCGGAGCGGAUCCCUGAAAACCGGUCUCAGUUCGGAUCGCAGUCUGCAACUCGACUGCGUGAAGGCGGAGUCGCUAGUAAUCGCGAAUCAGCAACGUCGCGGUGAAUGCGUUCCCGGGCCUUGUACACACCGCCCGUCAAGUCAUGAAAGUGGGCAGCACCCGAAGCCGGUGGCCUAACCCCUUGUGGGNNGGAGCCGUCUNAGGUGAGGC